UACGGGGGGGGCAAGCGUUGUUCGGAAUUACUGGGCGUAAAGGGUCCGUAGGUGGCCCGCUAAGUCACACGUGAAAUCCCUCAGCUCAACUGGGGAACUGCGUCUGAGACUGGCCGGCUUGAGUGCAGGAGAGGAACGCGGAAUUCCAGGUGUAGCGGUGAAAUGCGUAGAUAUCUGGAGGAACACCGGUGGCGAAGGCGGCGUUCUGGACUGCUACUGACACUGAGGAACGAAAGCCAGGGGAGCAAACGGG
This 253-nucleotide ribosomal RNA is filed under the name uncultured bacterium. RNAcentral describes it as "partial 16S ribosomal RNA". It matches the Rfam family "Bacterial small subunit ribosomal RNA", at positions 524 to 776 of the family's 1533-position model. The record is from RNAcentral.